CGGCGCGGUUCUUUGGGGUCUGAUUUGGGAUCAGAGGGUCGUAGGUUCGAAUCCUAUCGCUCCGACCA
RNAcentral lists this transfer RNA (68 nucleotides) under Pandoraea sp. ISTKB. RNAcentral describes it as "tRNA-Pro". The record is from RNAcentral. Lineage: Bacteria; Pseudomonadati; Pseudomonadota; Betaproteobacteria; Burkholderiales; Burkholderiaceae.